Molecule: ribosomal RNA, 933 nt
Filed under: Salmonella enterica
Lineage: Bacteria; Pseudomonadati; Pseudomonadota; Gammaproteobacteria; Enterobacterales; Enterobacteriaceae
Also listed under: 2 other names
Description: partial 23S ribosomal RNA
Rfam family: Bacterial large subunit ribosomal RNA
Source: RNAcentral
GGGUAGGGGAGCGUUCUGUAAGCCUGUGAAGGUGUGUCGUGAGGCAUGCUGGAGGUAUCAGAAGUGCGAAUGCUGACAUAAGUAACGAUAAAGCGGGUGAAAAGCCCGCUCGCCGGAAGACCAAGGGUUCCUGUCCAACGUUAAUCGGGGCAGGGUGAGUCGACCCCUAAGGCGAGGCCGAAAGGCGUAGUCGAUGGGAAACGGGUUAAUAUUCCCGUACUUGGUGUUACUGCGAAGGGGGGACGGAGAAGGCUAUGUUGGCCGGGCGACGGUUGUCCCGGUUUAAGCGUGUAGGUGUGUGUUCCAGGUAAAUCCGGUUCACUUUAACACUGAGGCGUGACGACGAGGCACUACGGUGCUGAAGCAACAAAUGCCCUGCUUCCAGGAAAAGCCUCUAAGCAUCAGGUAACAUCAAAUCGUACCCCAAACCGACACAGGUGGUCAGGUAGAGAAUACCAAGGCGCUUGAGAGAACUCGGGUGAAGGAACUAGGCAAAAUGGUGCCGUAACUUCGGGAGAAGGCACGCUGACACGUAGGUGAAGUGAUUUACUCAUGGAGCUGAAGUCAGUCGAAGAUACCAGCUGGCUGCAACUGUUUAUUAAAAACACAGCACUGUGCAAACACGAAAGUGGACGUAUACGGUGUGACGCCUGCCCGGUGCCGGAAGGUUAAUUGAUGGGGUCAGCGCAAGCGAAGCUCCUGAUCGAAGCCCCGGUAAACGGCGGCCGUAACUAUAACGGUCCUAAGGUAGCGAAAUUCCUUGUCGGGUAAGUUCCGACCUGCACGAAUGGCGUAAUGAUGGCCAGGCUGUCUCCACCCGAGACUCAGUGAAAUUGAACUCGCUGUGAAGAUGCAGUGUACCCGCGGCAAGACGGAAAGACCCCGUGAACCUUUACUAUAGCUUGACACUGAACAUUGAGCCUUGAUGUGUAG